Molecule: non-coding RNA, 150 nt
Filed under: human gut metagenome
Description: FMN riboswitch (RFN element)
Rfam family: FMN riboswitch aptamer (RFN element)
About the family: The RFN element is a highly conserved domain that is found frequently in the 5'-untranslated regions of prokaryotic mRNAs that encode for flavin mononucleotide (FMN) biosynthesis and transport proteins.
Source: RNAcentral
UGUCUUCGGGGCGAGGUGAAAUUCCUCACCGGCGGUAAGGUUUUGUUGUAUAUUCGUUGAUGAAUAAAGCCGUAGCCCGCGAACUGUGAUAUGUCACAGCCGAUUUGGUGAAAAUCCAAAGCCGACGGUAUAGUCCGGAUGAAAGAAGAU